GCGGGAUAACGGUUCGAAAGGACUGCUAAUACCGCAUAAGCUCACGGGGUCUAGAAGCCUGUGAGAAAAACUCCGGUGCUGAAGGAGGGGGCUGCGGUCCAUCAGGUAGAUGGUAAGGUAAUGGCUUACCAUGCCGACGACGGAUAGGGGGCCUGAGAGGGUGACCCCCCACACUGGAACUGAGACACGGUCCAGACUCCUACGGGAGGCAGCAGUGAGGAAUAUUGCUCAAUGGGCGCAAGCCUGAAGCAGCGACGCCGCGUGGACGAUGAAGGCUUUCGGGUCGUAAAGUCCUUUUUUAGGUGACGAGCAGGGACGGUAGCCUAAGAAUAAGUGUCGGCUAACUACGUGCCAGCAGCCGCGGUAAAACGUAGGACACAAGCGUUAUCCGGAGUUACUGGGCGUAAAGGGCGUUCAGGCGGGUGAUUAAGUUCGCUAUGAAAGCGCCGGGCUAAACCCGGCGAGGCUGGCGGAUACUGGUCAUCUGGAGUAGGUCAGAGGAAGGUAGAAUUCCGCGUGUAGUGGUGAAAUGCGUAGAGAUGCGGAGGAAUACCAGUGGCGAAAGCGGCCUUCUGGGACCUAACUGACGCUGAAGCGCG
RNAcentral lists this ribosomal RNA (599 nucleotides) under uncultured bacterium. RNAcentral describes it as "bacterial SSU rRNA". It matches the Rfam family "Bacterial small subunit ribosomal RNA", at positions 138 to 755 of the family's 1533-position model. The record is from RNAcentral.